GAAGAGUACAAAAAAAAAAAAAAAGAUUGUUUUUAUUAAUCUCUUUUCUCUUUGCCCACAGAACUCAAAGAAAUGGUGUUACCUGGCAAGAGAUCUGCUGUCUUUUAUGAAAAGUCAGAUCAAGGGUUUCUCUAAAGUGCAGCUGGCGCUUCCCCCCGUUCUCUGCAGCCAGGAAGGAUCUACAAAAUGCUGAAAUGUCUGUUGCUGAAUAUCAAGGUACCUCUUCGAAAAUAAUGCCGCUGACCACUCAGGAAAGUGCGAGCAAGUAUUGAUGCCAUAUACUAAAUCAUAACUAAAUGACUGGCUUUUUUACUGCUAAAUUUCAAACUCUCUUUCUAUCGCUGUUCUAAAUUCUUGGGUCUUUUUUUUUAAUUUUUUAAAAUUUUUUAUUUUUAUUUUUAUUUUAUUUUUA
RNAcentral lists this long non-coding RNA (412 nucleotides) under Vulpes vulpes (red fox). Its description in RNAcentral is "lncRNA (ENSVVUG00000008109.1)". The record is from RNAcentral. Lineage: Eukaryota; Metazoa; Chordata; Mammalia; Carnivora; Canidae.